GGCACCCGCCACGGUGCUCGGCUAAUUUUUUUUGUAUUUUUAGUAGAGACGGGGUUUCACCGUGUUAGCCAGGAUGGUCUCUAUCUCCUGACCUGGUGGUCCAUCCGCCUGCGCCUCCCAAAGUGCUGGGAUUACAGGCGUGAGCCACUGCGCCCGGCCCUAUACAUGUUAUUUUUUAAAAACAAGAGAACUUUAAAAAAUGUGACAAAAACGUACAUCAAAAAAUGUAUACUUCUUCAGACCUUGAAGAAAUAUAUUCUACAUUUUUACAGCAGACAUUAAUGAACCUUUAGUCCUGUGUGUCUGUGGCUGACUGCCACAAUUACUACUUGAGACCGUCACUAUGACAGUUAUUACUGUUACUACUUGAGACCGUCACUACGACAGUUAUUGUUACUACUUGAGACCGUCAUUACAGGACUGAACGAAAGGACAAACGUAGAAAUGAUUAAAAAAAUCUGUUUUAAAGGAAGGGGAAACCGGGAAGAAGGGAGCUCCCUGCUUCUAGUGAGCGAAGGCAGCCCCCCGAGCUUCCACAGCCCUUCGCAUUCAUUGGGAGAAUGAGCAGGGAGGAGGCCCUAAGACUGGUCAGCUGUUUGAUUAUCACAAGUUCUCAUUACUAACAGGCUUCAGUUGUGUCUAAUCCUAAACACUUGCACCUGGGUGGUGACUGCCCUCAGCAGUCCUUCUGGGCGGCAGACACAGGUUGUCAGUUUGCCAACACCCUGCUCUCAUGAGAAACAGUUUGCUGCUUACUCACGUGGCCUCCAGUGGUAUACUGAGUUGAUCACGACCCUCAAUCUUUCGGCCCCUAAGAGCCGCAGGGGGGUGGGGAGGUGCCAGGCUGCUGAGGCCUUUGGGUUCCUAGGCUGCUGGCAUUUUAAAACCACCACUGUAUUCCACCUCCCCUUGGAUAACACGCAGAAACAGGCCAAGAAGAAAUUACCUGCUGUUGGUUAUUUCUAUUUCAAAUGAAUACUAGCUGAACAUUUACUAAAUGACAUUGUCAGGUUUCAGCAAAAGCGGCCUGUAAUAGUUGGGUUUUGGCAGAGUUCAAAGACUGGGAAGCAAAGUUCAGCCAUGUUGGGCCUUUGGGCUCAUAGAUGAGCAAGGGUACCCCAAUAUGAGGGCUCAGCAAAUUCUGGAACUUAUCAGUUCUGAAGACCUUUAGAGGAGAAGGAGACAAGUAAAAGGGUUGGCCUUGCGUAUUGGCAAUGAAACAGGCUAUUUUUGACAUUGAGUUGUCCAGCAUUCUCUAAGGUAUGUAGUCCUGGAGGGCGCUGCUUAAUGAACCAGAAGUCCUGCCUCUUAAGUACCUCACCAGCUCAAAUGUGUGCAUGUCACCUUGGCGUGAAUCGGAGCAGGCGCUGGUGGAUACCGUUUGGAGGCAUGCCAGCAAGGAGCUCCUUGUGUAGCCUGCCUCUGGAGCCUCAAGUUCAACUUCCAUAGGGCCAAAAGGGGAGUCGGGCUGGGCAGAAGCUCCUGAGAACCAAAGCAAAUGGUCUGAGAGUCUGAGAGUGUAGUGGAGGUAACGUGUUCGUGUCCUCUCUGGCUGCAUCACCCCAAGUCCUUGCAGACUCAAGUAGCCUAUUUGCAAGUUUAAAUAGUUUGAGUCCUGGCCGGUAACAAGAAUACUCUACAGUGGCCCAGAGUCAGGGAUAUAGAGUGGCGACUACUUGGCAGAACUGGAGCUUGCUCAGAUGAAAAGAUAAAUUGUACUGGUUAAACGAAGAUCAAGUGCAGGGUCUGGACUUUGUUUCUAUCUUUCAUGUGGACUCUAUAAGCACCUACACACAGCAUUCUAGAAACACUGCUCCCAUCCCUCCUGUCUCAUGUCAUCCUCCCAAUUCCGGGAGUUGGGGGGCAUACUCUUUCCCUGUGUCAUGUGAGAAAUUCCUUUCUCAUGGGAAGCAGGUGGCAUUCCUGGACUCUCCUUGGCCUGGCCGUUGGUAAGCACAGGAAUUCAAGGUGUCUGAAUCUCUUGUCAAAGGUGGGCUGUAAGGCUCCAGAAGAGGAGGACAGAAAGUGCCUGCAGAGCUCCUGCCUGAGGCCUUUGGAUGGGCCCUGCUGGCUUGCCGUGUGUGUGUGUGUGUGUGUGUGUGUGUGUGUGUGUGUGUGGUGUCGUGCUUAUUUGCCCCAAAUGAGGCAAGAGAGCAGUGAUCAGGUGUCUCCCCAGCAUCUAGUUUCAUGAAGACAAUAGAAGUGGGUCGGAUCAGGCCUGCUGCCAUGCUUGGCUUGCCCAUGUCUCCUAGGAUUGGCUGCCUGGUGGCCAUCCCUUUGCCAUCCCCUUGACUGCCCUGUGAAUGAUGUCCACUCUGAGACCCCAGGCCACUCAGAAAAACUGAAGAUUCUCAAGUUCAGGUGCAGUUAGGGGGCAGGUCCUGGUGGUGGGGGAGCUUUGAUGUUCUGCAGUUGGAGGAUCCUCUUUCAGAAUAGUAAUGCAAUUUGUGAAUUAAUAAAAUUAGGUAUGCAAGAGGAUAUGUAGAAAAGAAAAAUCACAAGCUACACAAUUUUUAAGUUGACAAAACUACGAACAUCACAAAAUAAUAUGAUAUUUUAAAUUAAUUAUCUGCCUGGAAUACUCUGUCAUUUUUUUUUGAUCUUUUGCCUGCAUCGUCUUUGAUAGCAGUGUUUUUGAUAUUGCUUUUUAUAGAGAGACUCAAGAUAAUGGAGUCUACUCUGUUGUGGUUAAUUAAACAUUUUUUGGUGUUAUUCAUAGUUUGAGAUGUUUCUUUUAGCUUCUCAACCUGCUAUACAGAUAAAAAGCACUUUCAUGUCAGGUAAAUAUUUAGAAUUGUUGCCAAAUUUUAAAUUUCCUCCAUCAAUUUUCUUUCAUAUGUCAUAUAUGAGUUGUGAGAUUUGGAAGGAUAUUUCAGACCAGCUUCUGUAUCUAUUUUUUUCUCUAAUCACAUGCUACUGGUGGUGUGGACAGUAGUAGCACAUGACCAUAUCAGGACAUGAUCUAUCUUGGUGUCAUGGCUCUCAGUGAGUCUGCUUGGAGGGUAGUAGAAGUAUCCCUGGACGUCAUUCCUACACCAGGACAGCAAUAACUUAGCUCUCCAAGGAAGUUACUGUGAACCACAUGCACAUAUUCUACUCAAGUCAAUGUGCCCCCAACUCAAUUUGUCCUUAGCUAGACCCCAAAAGUUCUCAUGGGGAGUCUCACUCCCCUUCCACUUAACAUGAUGGAAGGCCUGAUUGGAGGGGGGCGUCAGCAGUGGGAAGAGACACAGCCUUCACUGAUUGCAGCUAAAAUGUCUUACUUUUGAAAAUAGGACAAAAACAUAUGACCAUGUGCAUAUACUGCUGAAGCCCCUCCCUGGGCCAUGCAAGGUGCCUAUGUGAGUGCAAGUGAGAUGCCCGGAAGUGUAAGUUUCAUCUGCUCAGGAAAGGGCCAGGUAUUGCCUGGUAUCACAUUCCAGGGGAAAGGAAGAGACAGUCAAGGCCUUAUGGCUCUUAACUUUGAUCUUAGUGCUUCGUAUUUUCCAUUCUGCAUGAUACAAAAACAGAUUUAAAUCAUGUUCUAGAUAGAGAUGAAAAGCAUUUUCACUUUUGGCAGGUCGUGGAACAUCAAUCAAUAUUUGUUAAUUGGUUGAACUGGAUGCAUAAUUGGAAAGCUAAUGGAAGGAGAUAUGUUUUACAAGGAAGGGCCCUUGGUGAUCACUGAUUAGUCAUUUUUACAGAUAGCAAAGCCAGGAAGGGGAAUGACUGUCUGAAGGUGGCAGUGAAUGACAGAGCUGAGGCCCAUGGCAAGGUGCACUAGUACACUCUGCCUUUGCAUGACUGUAAGCAAUUAAAGUCUCAUCAGAAGUCAUUGUGAGUUAAUACACGGAGCAAAUAUAGGUGCAGAUGUCUAGAAGCAACAAUGGCAUUUACAGUGAAGCCAAACAUUGAAGGUUUACUGUAAAAUGUUGCACUGAAUUCUUUAUAUACACCUGUUUUGGUUAGUCAUUAUUCUCUCCAGUCUGUGGGUUACAUGCCCCUUGCUGACCCACAGUACCAUGCCACAAGAUAGGCAGUGUAUUGGCCAGGUGCACACCUGGCAAAAGUCUACUCUGCUUAGGUUCAGCUGUGGAUGGGUUCUGUGCGCCUUGGAUGGGGUCGUGAAAACUGUGGGACUACAGGACUGGGCUUGUGGGCAGAAGAGUCAUAGGGCACUCUGCCUAGGAAAAGGGAAAGGGGCCUGUUCCUACCAGGUGCUCUGCGGAGUGUCCACACUGCAGGGAAAGGCUCAGGUCUGAAUAGGAGGUGCAGACUUUGUGUCUACAGGACCCUGCAAACCUGAGGCCUUGUGGAGGUUUGGUCAAGAUGGAGAGGCCAGUUAGCGGCGUACCAUGGGCUAGACUGUCCAUGACGUGGAGUAAAAGGCAGCUAUUGGCACUGAGCUAACAACAGUGGGAGGUGGGGCCUCAGUGGAAGUGGAUUGCUUGCUUCUCAUCCUGCCUCCAACACUUGGUACCCACAUGACCCUGCACAAGGAACCUGUUUGUCCCAUCUGAGCCUCUGCAUCUUGGGCUGUCAAAAGCCAAGAAAAAAAAAUUGUAAGACUGAUCUCAUAGGGUCGUUACGAGAAUUAAAUGAGAUAAUCCAUGUAAAGCAACUGACAUGUAAAAAUAACAAUAAUGAAAGUGACACUAAUCUUAGGGUCUACUUCGACUUUGCUAAGUGGUUUUACAAUAAAUAGCAUUAUUUAUUAUUAUUCAUUAUGUUUAAUAUUACUAUUAAAUCAGUCUCCAUGGCUGUGGAUGGGGGUAGGAUGACCUGGGCCUGUGGGCCCUGACUAUUUGCCUCCUCCAUGCCCAGGUACCCAGUCCCUGCAGGCAUCUGCAGCUCAGUCCCCCAUGAGAACUUCAGGGUGUCCAGCCAAGGGCAGGGUCUCUGGGAGCCUCUCUUUUCUAACGGGGGCUGGGCUGCUGGGCUCAGGAAGCCCAUAUAGCCCUAUGCUUCAAGGGAGGAUGGUGA
This 4962-nucleotide long non-coding RNA is filed under the name Homo sapiens (human). RNAcentral describes it as "HSALNT0383663". Lineage: Eukaryota; Metazoa; Chordata; Mammalia; Primates; Hominidae. The record is from RNAcentral.